CCUACGGGGGGCUGCAGUGGGGAAUAUUGGACAAUGGGGGGAACCCUGAUCCAGCCAUGCCGCGUGUGUGAAGAAGGCCCUCGGGUUGUAAAGCACUUUCAGUGAGGAAGAACGCCUGGUGGUUAAUACCCAUCAGGAAAGACAUCACUCACAGAAGAAGCACCGGCUAACUCCGUGCCAGCAGCCGCGGUAAUACGGAGGGUGCGAGCGUUAAUCGGAAUUACUGGGCGUAAAGCGCGCGUAGGUGGCUUGAUAAGCCGGUUGUGAAAGCCCCGGGCUCAACCUGGGAACGGCAUCCGGAACUGUCAAGCUAGAGUGCAGGAGAGGAAGGUAGAAUUCCCGGGGUAGCGGUGAAAUGCGUAGAGAUCGGGAGGAAUACCAGUGGCGAAGGCGGCCUUCUGGACUGACACUGACACUGAGGUGCGAAAGCGUGGGUAGCAAACAGGAUUAGAUACCCUUGUAGUC
Molecule: ribosomal RNA, 465 nt
Filed under: Vreelandella stevensii
Lineage: Bacteria; Pseudomonadati; Pseudomonadota; Gammaproteobacteria; Oceanospirillales; Halomonadaceae
Description: partial 16S ribosomal RNA
Rfam family: Bacterial small subunit ribosomal RNA
Source: RNAcentral